This 269-nucleotide transfer-messenger RNA is filed under the name Muribaculaceae bacterium. RNAcentral's name for it is "partial transfer-messenger RNA". It matches the Rfam family "transfer-messenger RNA", at positions 106 to 374 of the family's 374-position model. From Rfam's summary of the family: Bacterial tmRNA, also known as 10Sa RNA or SsrA, is named for its dual tRNA and mRNA-like properties. Its role is to liberate the mRNA from a stalled ribosome. To accomplish this part of the tmRNA is used as a reading frame that ends in a translation stop signal. Lineage: Bacteria; Pseudomonadati; Bacteroidota; Bacteroidia; Bacteroidales; Muribaculaceae. The record is from RNAcentral.
AGUAUAGUAGAUCAGCUUUAUUCGCGUAACAGUUACGCGGACGAGACAUCGCCCGAGAGUCCUGGACCCGAGACUCCUCGAUAAGGCGGUGCAGCUAAAUCGGGUAUAGGGAAAGCCGAGCUUCGAGGUUUGCCCGAAAUUUUAGAAGCUAAGGCCAUGGUUGGAGGUUCCGUUCCUGCCACGGCUCGAAAACCAACUCGGGAAUAAGCAUGUAGAAAACUCAUCAAUUCCACGUUUGGACGGGGGUUCAAAUCCCCCCAACUCCACCC